GCCAUCGUGGUGUAAUGGCUAACAUACUCGACGCUUAUUCGAGAGAUCCGAGGUUCGAGUCCCGGCGAGGGCA
Molecule: transfer RNA, 73 nt
Filed under: Stegodyphus mimosarum
Lineage: Eukaryota; Metazoa; Arthropoda; Arachnida; Araneae; Eresidae
Rfam family: tRNA
About the family: Transfer RNA (tRNA) molecules are approximately 80 nucleotides in length.
Source: Rfam by way of RNAcentral